CCUACGGGAGGCAGCAGUAGGGAAUAUUGGGCAAUGGGCGCAAGCCUGACCCAGCCAUGCCGCGUGCAGGAAGAAGGCCCUCUGGGUUGUAAACUGCUUUUGGGAGGGGACAAAAAGCGGGUGCGCCCGUAAUUGAGUGUACCUCCAGAAUAAGCACCGGCUAACUCCGUGCCAGCAGCCGCGGUAAUACGGAGGGUGCAAGCGUUGUCCGGAUUUAUUGGGUUUAAAGGGUGCGUAGGCGGCCCGAUAAGUCGGGGGUGAAACCCACAGGCUUAACCUGUGGAGUGCCCUCGAUACUGUCGGGCUUGGGUUAUCUCUAGGCGGGCGGAAUGGAAGGUGUAGCGGUGAAAUGCAUAGAUAUCUACCAGAACGCCGAUAGCGAAGGCAGCUCGCUGGGGAUAUACCGACGCUGAGGCACGAUAGCGUGGGGAUCAAACAGGAUUAGAUACCCUGGUAGUCCACGCCGUAAACGAUGGCCACUCGGUGUCGGCAUUAAGUGUCGGCGCCCAAGCGAAAGCGUUAAGUGGCCCACCUGGGGAGUACGCCGGCAACGGUGAAACUCAAAGGAAUUGACGGCNGAGACGNGCGACGACGACGACGAGGAGAGG
Molecule: ribosomal RNA, 608 nt
Filed under: uncultured bacterium
Lineage: Bacteria
Description: bacterial SSU rRNA
Rfam family: Bacterial small subunit ribosomal RNA
Source: RNAcentral